This 348-nucleotide long non-coding RNA is filed under the name Canis lupus familiaris (dog). RNAcentral describes it as "lncRNA (ENSCAFG00030024949.1)". Lineage: Eukaryota; Metazoa; Chordata; Mammalia; Carnivora; Canidae. The record is from RNAcentral.
AUGCUCUGGAGAGUCCUUAAGUGUCCUGACAGUGAGAAGUUGUUUAAACUUCAUGGACCCUCACUUGGUACUAAGUGUCUCAGGGAUGCCAGUCUGACUCCAGACCACAAGAGUAUCUGGGCCAUGCGUGGGAAAUACGUCAGCACCAGUGUGCAUGGUUGGGAAGAACAAGUGUGGCCUAAUACUGCUCACACUGACACAGGUGGGCUACUUCUUCAUCACUGGAGCCACAUGUCAACUAUUCCCACCCAAUAUAGUAAGUGGAAAGCUGGGCUUGGAACUGCAACCAAGGAGAAUUCUUUGUUGUUGAAAUCAUCAAAUGUCCAGGCGGGACACCUGUGUGACUGA